Long non-coding RNA from Malus domestica (apple), 1178 nucleotides. RefSeq lists it as uncharacterized. Lineage: Eukaryota; Viridiplantae; Streptophyta; Magnoliopsida; Rosales; Rosaceae. The record is from RefSeq and is a predicted model, not a curated record.
GUCAAGUAUGGUACAAAUAGUGCUCCCUUAUGUUCCCGAAUGAGGAAAGCUUCUCGGUUGGGAACUUGACAAAUCCAAGUCAUUGAGUAAACACGAAACUUCUAAGUACCGAUGUGUAGUAGCAUAUAUAGUAGUCCCCUAAGUCUCUAGGCGAGGAGAAGAGGCCUAGCUUUUGUUGAAAUUGGCCCGAGGCCUACUCGAAACCUAGCCUUCCACCCUUGCUCCACCCGUGCCUUCUUCCCCGCACAGCCUCUUUUUUUCCUAGUUUUAGUAACCCAGUCUCUCCAUCCUUCCCCAUCUUCUUCGUUUUACUAGUUUUUUGUUUUGCAGUCACCCAUUUCCUUCAACACCGAAAUUCUUGCUCCUUUGCUUAAGUCCAGGCCUUCCCCAUCUGACUGUGGUCAAGAUUCUCAAGUGAAAUAGUAUCCCGUUUAAUUCAGUCGAUGUUGUUAGGGUCGCGGCGAGAGAGCUAGGGGAACGGAGACAGAGGCAAGCGCGGCGCUAGACGGGCAGGUCCCAGGGGUGAUAUUUGUUGCUAAAAACGGGUUUGGGUUCAAGCUCGGGCUGCUAGGUUUUGACAGUAGUGUCGGAGGUCAGAACUCCCUAGUCACGUCCCUUCCACACAGGCAUUCACCGCUGCGAGACAAAGGGUUUGGUGGUUCCACUUGGGUCCUCACAAAAAAUCAAAGUCUUGAACUUGGUUGCUUUUAACUUCACUCCAAGAUAUAAAUUUCAGGAGCUUGGAGGAGAAGGGGUUAUUGGGGUUUUGAUUUGAGUUUUGAAGGAGGUGGGUUAAAGGUUGAAAGCUGCCCAAAGCUCGCUGGUUGCUGAAGCUCUGGUUUGAAUUCAUUAGAAAAGCUUGAGGAGUGAGUGAAGGAUCAAAGAAGUGAGUUGUUGCAGAAAGCUGUUCUCGAAUUUGAAGGCCUGGGUUUGCAGCUUAAGAGGGGUUGAAGUUGGGUUUUGAUGCGGGCUGCCUUGGGGUUUAUUACGGUCUAGGCAAUGGGUGCCGCUGGUGAAGUUUGAUUGAGAAGGAAAGAGCGAGGGGAAAGGGGAGGUAGCGGUAGGGGUGUUGUCAAGCCAAGGUUAUUUUCUGUUGGUACUGUCUGUACCCAAUGAAAACAUUGAUACUUGAGUGUUUGAUUGCAUUCCUCUUUUCUGUAAUCAACCAACAUUUAAUG